Molecule: ribosomal RNA, 468 nt
Filed under: uncultured bacterium
Lineage: Bacteria
Description: partial 16S ribosomal RNA
Rfam family: Bacterial small subunit ribosomal RNA
Source: RNAcentral
GACGAACGCUGGCGGCGUGCUUAACACAUGCUAGUCGAACGGAAAGGCCCUGCUUUUGUGGGGUGCUCGAGUGGCGAACGGGUGAGUAACACGUGAGUAACCUGCCCUUGACUUUGGGAUAACUUCAGGAAACUGGGGCUAAUACCGGAUAGGAGCUCCUGCUGCAUGGUGGGGGUUGGAAAGUUUCGGCGGUUGGGGAUGGACUCGCGGCUUAUCAGCUUGUUGGUGGGGUAGUGGCUUACCAAGGCUUUGACGGGUAGCCGGCCUGAGAGGGUGACCGGCCACAUUGGGACUGAGAUACGGCCCAGACUCCUACGGGAGGCAGCAGUGGGGAAUAUUGCACAAUGGGCGGAAGCCUGAUGCAGCAACGCCGCGUGCGGGAUGACGGCCUUCGGGUUGUAAACCGCUUUCGCCUGUGACGAAGCGUGAGUGACGGUAAUGGGUAAAGAAGCACCGGCCAACUACGUG